Molecule: long non-coding RNA, 636 nt
Filed under: Lytechinus variegatus (green sea urchin)
Lineage: Eukaryota; Metazoa; Echinodermata; Echinoidea; Temnopleuroida; Toxopneustidae
Description: uncharacterized LOC121416251
Source: RNAcentral
AAAUUUAGCUCCUGAAGACAGUUCGGGACACCCCGCACAUAAUCAGCGUCUUCGAAUCACUCGCCGGUCGCCGUGAUUUUGCUGCGAAGCAAGGCUUGGGUAGAUCGUAAAAGUUUCUUGCAGAGUUUCGCAGGAUUCAUGGUGAGGACCUAAUCACACUGUUCAACCAAGGACUACAAAGACUGGCAGAACCCCUUUCUAGACUUCACAAAGAUAGAUGCAAAUGAGCCAAGAAAGAUGUGACAGUUUACUUCCCGGAAGCUAAGAAGAAAUUGCCAUACAGAUUCUACCAACCUUUUUCAAGGAAGACCUGGUGAUGUAUUCAUCUCAAGUGACAAGGUUGAUACGAAGCCCAUGUACAUACGUGUAUCCUGCAAUCAAGAGGAAUCAUAUGAGCUUGUUCUGGAGGAGCAAAGAGUCUGUCAAGUCCAGGAUAAAGUGCAUGCAUUGGCUUGUUAAGUAGCUGGUUUUUAUUUUUCAUUCAGCCUAUGGCUGUGAGCCAUCAGUCAUGAAAAUUUGUGAGUUUUGCCAACUUGGAAUUCUUCAGGUGAAAGAUGCAUGUCCUGUUGAUAAAUCUGUUAUCAACCUUCUGAACAUGUUGAAGAAGAAAGUGCCCUCCAGACAAGGGAAGUAACU